GACGAACGCUGGCGGCGUGCCUAACACAUGCAAGUCGAGCGAACGGACGCGAAGCUUGCUUCACUGACGUUAGAGGCGGACGGGACAGUAAAACGUGGUUAACUUACCUAUAAGACUGGGAUAACUUCGGGAAACCGGUGCUAAUACCGGCUAACAUUCUGAACCGCAUGGUUCAAAAGUGAAAGACGGUCUUGCUGUCACUUAUAGAUGGAUCCGCGCUGUAUUAGCUAGUUGGUAAGGUAACGGCUUACCAAGGCAACGAUGCAUAGCCGACCUGAGAGGGUGAUCGGCCGCACUGGAGCUGAGACACGGUCCAGACUCCUGCGGGAGGCAGCAGUAGGGAAUCUGCCGCAGUGGGCGGAAACCUGACGGAGCAACGCCGCGUGAGUGAUGGAAGUCUUCGGAUCGUAAAACUCUGUUAUUAGUGGAGAACAUAUGUGUAAGGAGCUGUGCACAUCUUGACGGUACCUAGUCAGAAAGCCACGGCUAACUACGUG
Molecule: ribosomal RNA, 497 nt
Filed under: uncultured bacterium
Lineage: Bacteria
Description: partial 16S ribosomal RNA
Rfam family: Bacterial small subunit ribosomal RNA
Source: RNAcentral